RNAcentral lists this ribosomal RNA (252 nucleotides) under uncultured bacterium. RNAcentral describes it as "partial 16S ribosomal RNA". It matches the Rfam family "Bacterial small subunit ribosomal RNA", at positions 524 to 776 of the family's 1533-position model. The record is from RNAcentral.
UACGUAGGUGGCGAGCGUUGUCCGGAAUUACUGGGUGUAAAGGGAGCGUAGGCGGGAGAGCAAGUCGACUGUGAAAUCUAUGGGCUUAACCCAUAGCUGCGAUCGAAACUGUUCAUCUUGAGUGAAGUAGAGGCAGGCGGAAUUCCUAGUGUAGCGGUGAAAUGCGUAAAUAUUAGGAGGAACACCAGUGGCGAAGGCGGCUUACUGGACUGUAACUGACGUUGAGGCUCGAAAGCGUGGGGAGCAAACAGG